This 74-nucleotide transfer RNA is filed under the name Natranaerobius trueperi. It matches the Rfam family "tRNA". Rfam says of the family: Transfer RNA (tRNA) molecules are approximately 80 nucleotides in length. Lineage: Bacteria; Bacillati; Bacillota; Clostridia; Natranaerobiales; Natranaerobiaceae. The record is from Rfam by way of RNAcentral.
CGCGGGGUGGAGCAGCCUGGUAGCUCGUCGGGCUCAUAACCCGGAGGCCGCAGGUUCAAAUCCUGCCCCCGCAA